UGAGGGCACCGUCCGUCCCGCCUCGCCCCGCCCGCCAGCUCCCGGCCACCAGUUGAGAAACUUGGCGGCGAGGGGUCAUGCCGGCUGUCCCCGAGGGCAGGCCCGCUCCGCCCGGGGAGCGAUAUCCAUCGGAGCCCUCCCCGGCCGCUGGGCGCUUCCCCCGCCACCGCGGCCCUGCCGUGCUGGGGGAGGCGCCGAGGGGAGGCGCGGCCACAGCAGCCGCUGCUUGCCGCCUUCGUGGCGCCCCCCGCCGCCGCGUCCGGCCCCGCUGUCCGCACCCCGUCCUGGGAUCCCGCGCUGGGGCGGGGAGAGGCGGCGACGGGCCGUGCCCGGCUCGCCCUGCGGGCGCAGGGGCCGUGUCGAGCCGCCUGUCACACGUUCCCCGCGGGAGCUGCGCUGCGGGACUCGGGCGGACACGGCCCGCGGCGGCCGCCCCAGUGGAGGUUUCGGUGGGUUAAGCAGCCGCAGUUGGCGGCACGGCUCGUCAGCAGGGCAGGCAGCUGCAUUUCUGAGGGAGAAGCCCGGGGAUGACGGCAAAUCGGAAGAAGUAAUGUUUAGUGGGGACGCUUGAAACUAUGAAAAACCCACCGCGUAUUAACUGCACGCCGGUGAGGCCUAAGUGCAGCACACAGCAUAAGCACAGCCACGGAUCUCUGAACGCACCCCCGGAGUCACAAAGUGCUCUUAAAUGCGGGUGCUGUCCGCGGCGCAGCUCCGCGCCCGGCGGUUCCCGGCACAGGGGACACACGCCCCGCUGUCACCCCGCGCACGCGGCGGAGCCCCCUCAGUGGCACAUUGCCGGGAUCUGUUAAAGGACAGAAAAACUUGGUGGCAGGAGUUUCUCGAUUCCAGAGCGCUGACGUAAGCCGCAGCCAAUGCAGCGCUCGCCGGACGGCAGCGGCGCUCGGGCCCGGCUCGACGUGAGCCGCGGGCAGGGCAGGGCAGGGCGGCCCCGCCGCCCGGGGCACGUUCGCUGCCCUGUCAAGUACGUGGUGAUGGCAGCGCGGCCGAGCUACGAGCUCCGUGCGCCCCUCCGAUGGCCGAGACAACAAGAUACUUUAAACCUGCCCCUGCCGGCGGCUAACGCAGACGCGGUGCCCCGCACAGGUACACGGAACUCUUCCCGGGAGCACUUCCUAACGAGUAAGCGCCCCGGCGCAGGAAUGCUGCCGCCCGCCCGGGGAUAGCCUGGCGGUGAGCCCGGGCCGGCAGUCGCAGCCCAGGUGUGCUUUAUCCACAUCGCCACCUGUGGGUCUCCCGCAGCCCUGCAGCCCCGGCCUGGGCUGGGCACGGAGCCGUGUGCCCAGCAAUCAUCUAGAAUUGAAAUGAAAACCGUCUACCUGGGAGAAAUGUACUUGAGAAAGCGUACGACAGCAAAGAUACGUUUUGCUUCUAAAUAUAUUGUAAAUAAAAUAUCGACAUUUGAAUGGCACCACAGGGAGAAACGUUGAGGCUGCUGCUUUGAGAUCUUCCAUGUGGCACUCUGCGAAUCCAUGCGUCUUGCAAGCUACACCUUUUGAACAAACUUCUAAAACAAACCCUCUGACCCCAGUCUGUCCAGACGCAGUCAUGAAAAAUCAACAGCCAUUCGUUACUUUAAAGUAAUGCAUGCUUUUACUCGCAUAGGAUCUUCUGGUUCAGGCCUCAAUCAAUUUGAAAAUGUGACUGGAUAAAGUAUUUAAGUAGAAUGUCCAGUGAUGUGGCAGAGUCACAUCCUGGCAGAAGCUGGGAAGAAUCCUGGAUGGCUUCACUCUUAGCAUUCUUUUCUGAGCAGUAGACAGUACUGUUUGCCCAAAAGAGUAAGAUAAGUUACGUUUAGAAAUAUGUGUAUAGAUUUUGACUUGCUUAUAAAUAUAUGAGUAACUUUAUUUACAGGAACCCAGAACCAUGGGAGGUAAUUAGUAAGCACAGUUUGCUUAGGUAAGGGCUUGCAAGACCUUUUAUCAUCACUGUAUCUAUAACUUAGGACAGGAGCCAAAUAAUAUAAAUGUCAGUAAUUACAGAUAUAUAUUUAUAUUAACAAUAAAGUCCACUUUUGGAAGAGCUAAGGCUGUAUUUGUAAUGACGUCAUAUGGCUGAAAUUACGUUCACCAAUUUGUCCUGUGCACAUUUCUGUCAGGAAAAAUUGAUACAGUACCACAAACCACCAGGAGCAGCAAGUCCUGCAAGUGAGUUCUGUGACUACGGGCAAGAUAUCAGCCUUGAAAUUACAUAUAAUUUUUGUUUAAAAUUAAAACUCUCGAAAGGCCUCUAGAAUAUGUGUGUGUAAUAACAAGUUCACUACAUUAAAGAAAAUUAGAAAUACUAUGUGAAUUUUGAAAGAGGGCUUUACAUUCCACAGUCUAUAAGCAUUUUUUAGGCAAAUCAGUUAACAUUGAUUUGCUACUCUUAAACAUAUAGUGACAAUUGAUUUUUGAGGUGACAUAUCUGUAGUGAUAUUUUGUCUCAAAUAUGAAUAUUUUUAUGAUUCAUAUGUCUCCAUCUUUAACAGGGAAAAAAGUCCUUUGACAAAUACCUAAUGUAAACUCAUGUAGAACUUACCCUUUGGGGUAAAAAAAAGUUUUCUUCUCAGAUACUUUUAUAGGACUGGCAUUGAUACAUUGCCUCUCUUCACUAGUCACUGUAACAAAUGGAAGGGUGGAAAAGCACGAUCUGGUGCUGUAUGGAAGGCCUAAAUUAUAGGUAAAGGUAGUCCCUGAGCUACUUUAAAUUUACAGUACAAAAAAGAUCAACUGGAAAGGAAUUACAAAUAUAAAAAUCUGACUCAAUCAGCUGACCAAAAUGCACUUACCUUAUGCAGAGGAACAUGUUUAUAACACUAUCAUUUAUGCAAUGUGUUGCAAUGAAAAAUGAAAACUUAACUCUAGUCUGUAUUAUCUAAUUAAUUAGCCAAGUAACUUUAAAUAGGCAGAAAAAAUUAGUAUAUUAUCCCUGAAUGAAUAAAUAGCACGUUUAAUAUUGUUUCAUGGUGUUGUCCACACAAAAUACCUUUAUAAUUGCAUAGAAAUUAUUUUCAAAGAUGUGUGUCCAGUAGCAAAUCCUGUGUAAUUAGAAUAUCUGUUUGAGUGUAUCCAGGAAAUAAAUUAUUUACAUGUAGCUCAUUGCAAUGGAGGAGUAUGUCUGAUACCUUUAUGAAGUUCCCAUGAUCUCUGAACAAUGCUGUAAUGCACAGAAAGGUCCAUGACCAAUGUUUUCUACCUAUUUUGCUCCUAUCCACAGAGAAAACGUCUGGCUUGGGCUGCGGUAAACCCGUGGAGGAACAUUUACUCGAGCUG
Molecule: RNA transcript, 3275 nt
Organism: Motacilla alba alba
Lineage: Eukaryota; Metazoa; Chordata; Aves; Passeriformes; Motacillidae
Gene name: spidroin-2-like
Exons: 2
Source: RefSeq, a predicted model, not a curated record